RNAcentral lists this long non-coding RNA (526 nucleotides) under Homo sapiens (human). RNAcentral's name for it is "non-protein coding lnc-IL10RB-2:1". The record is from RNAcentral. Lineage: Eukaryota; Metazoa; Chordata; Mammalia; Primates; Hominidae.
GCUUAAGGAAGUCCUGAAAGGUGAAAUGAAAGGGCACUAGACAGAGGGGACAGUGCAGAUUCAGGCAGGUGCAAUGGCUUCUGGGGAAGACCCAGCCAGUGGGGCUAUUGCCAGCAUCCAGUCAGCUGCCACCUUCCCUGACCCCAGUGUCAAGUGAUGCGCAGGGUGAUCCAGGUGUGUGAGGGGCAGCUGGAUGUCCAGACUGAGGGCACUGGUGCCAUCAGUGGCUAUCCUACCACUCAAUUCAUGACCCAGGUGGUGAUCCAGGGUGAUAUCACCAGUUAUGAUGCAGUUAACACAGAGGGGAAAGCUGCUGAGAUACACUAUACUUUCCCACCCCUGCAGUGGGAGAUGGGGCAGGGGGUACCACAUCAGGGAGUACAGCUGCUGUUGUUACUACCCAGGGCUCAGAGGCACUGCUUGGGCAGGUGACUCUUCCUGGCACUGGUCAAUUAUUUGUGAUGAUGUCACCACAAGGAGUACUGCAGGGAGGAAGCCAGCACUUGAUUGCCCCUAGGACUCAACC